Molecule: ribosomal RNA, 497 nt
Filed under: uncultured bacterium
Lineage: Bacteria
Description: partial 16S ribosomal RNA
Rfam family: Bacterial small subunit ribosomal RNA
Source: RNAcentral
GAUGAACGCUGGCGGCGUGCCUAAUACAUGCAAGUCGAGCGAACGGACGAGAAGCUUGCUUCUCUGAUGUUAGCGGCGGACGGGUGAGUAACACGUGGAUAACCUACCUAUAAGACUGGGAUAACUUCGGGAAACCGGAGCUAAUACCGGAUAAUAUUUUGAACCGCAUGGUUCAAAAGUGAAAGACGGUCUUGCUGUCACUUAUAGAUGGAUCCGCGCUGCAUUAGCUAGUUGGUAAGGUAACGGCUUACCAAGGCAACGAUGCAUAGCCGACCUGAGAGGGUGAUCGGCCACACUGGAACUGAGCCACGGUCCAGACUCCUACGGGAGGCAGCAGUAGGAAAUCUUCCGCAAUGGGCGAAAGCCUGACGGAGCAACGCCGCGUGAGUGAUGAAGGUCUUCGGAUCGUAAAACUCUGUUAUUAGGGAAGAACAUAUGUGUAAGUAACUGUGCACAUCUUGACGGUACCUAAUCAGAAAGCCACGGCUAACUACUUG